AUAGAUUUUAUUUAUUAAUUUUGUAAAAAAAAAAUAAAUUUUAUUAAAAAUAAUUAUAAAUAAUAUAAGUUUUAGUAUUGUUUAAAGAAAAAAUAAAAUUAAUUAUAGUUUAUUAGUAUUGUAAAAGAAAAUUGAAAUAAUUUGAAAAAUCAUUAUAUUAAAAGAAAAUUUAAUUUAUUGUACCUUGUGUAUCAGCGUUUGUUAAAUAAAAUUUAUUUAUAUAAUUUUCUCGAUUUUAAAAGAGUUAAUGUAAUAUUUAAGUUAUUGUAAUAAAAUUAUUUAAAAUAUUAUGUUAGAAAUGAAAUGUUAUUCGUUUUUAAAGGUAUCUAGUUUUUUAAGAAAUGAAUUUAAUUCAGAAAUUGUAAAUUUAUUGAAAAAUUUUUUUAAUUCAAUAAUUUUUAAUUUUAAUAUUUUAUGGGAUAAGCUGUAAAAUAAAAUUUUAAAAAUAAUAAAUAAGUUUAAUAAAUAUAUGCUUAGAAUUAGCAAUUGUUUUUAAUUAUGUUAUAAUUUAUUUUAUAAAUCAAAUUAUUUAUUAAAUUUUAAUUUUUUAUUAAAAUUUAAAUUUAAAUUAGUAAAAUUUAGUAAUAAUGACAAAAUUAGUAUAAAGAUUUGUAAAAAUAAAUUUUUUUGAAAAGUUAAAAUAAAG
RNAcentral lists this ribosomal RNA (646 nucleotides) under Zygothrica sp. 3c PMO-2008. RNAcentral's name for it is "partial 16S ribosomal RNA". The record is from RNAcentral. Lineage: Eukaryota; Metazoa; Arthropoda; Insecta; Diptera; Drosophilidae.